GAUGAAGAACGUAGCGAAAUGCGAUAAGUAGUGUGAAUUGCAGAAUUCAGUGAAUCAUCGAAUCUUUGAACGCACAUUGCGCCCCUUGGUAUCCCGAGGGGCAUGCCUGUUCGAGCGUCAUUUCACCACUCAAGCCUGGCUUGGUGUUGGGCGACGUCCCCUUUGGGGACGCGCCUCGAAACGCUCGGCGGCGUGGCACCGGCUUUAAGCGUAGCAGAAUCUUUCGCUUUGGAAGUCGGGGCCCCGUCUGCCGGAAGACCUACUCGCAAGGUUGACCUCGGAUCAGGCAGGGAUACCCGCUGGACUUAAGCAUAUCAAUAAGCGGAGGA
RNAcentral lists this unclassified non-coding RNA (329 nucleotides) under soil metagenome. RNAcentral's name for it is "partial contains 5.8S ribosomal RNA, internal transcribed spacer 2, and large subunit ribosomal RNA". The stretch from base 1 to 120 matches the Rfam family "5.8S ribosomal RNA", at positions 35 to 154 of the family's 154-position model. The record is from RNAcentral.